Molecule: unclassified non-coding RNA, 499 nt
Filed under: uncultured Glomus
Lineage: Eukaryota; Fungi; Glomeromycota; Glomeromycetes; Glomerales; Glomeraceae
Description: SSU rRNA
Rfam family: Eukaryotic small subunit ribosomal RNA
Source: RNAcentral
CCAAUAGCGUAUAUUAAAGUUGCUGCAGUUAAAAAGCUCGUAGUUGAAUUUCGGGACUAAUAUGUCGGUCGUGCCUCGGUACGUACUGGUAUUUUUGGUUUCUCCCUUCUGACGAACCUUGAUGUCAUUAAUUUGGUGUCUUGGGAAAUCAGGACUGUUACUUUGAAAAAAUUAGAGUGUUUAAAGCAGGCUCACGCUUGAAUACAUUAGCAUGGAAUAAUGAAAUAGGACGUUUGAUUCUAUUUUGUUGGUUUCUAGGAUUGACGUAAUGAUUAAUAGGGAUAGUUGGGGGCAUUAGUAUUCAAUUGUCAGAGGUGAAAUUCUUGGAUUUAUUGAAGACUAACUACUGCGAAAGCAUUUGCCAAGGAUGUUUUCAUUAAUCAAGAACGAAAGUUAGGGGAUCGAAGACGAUCAGAUACCGUCGUAGUCUUAACCAUAAACUAUGCCGACUAGGGAUCGGAUGAUGUUAAUUUUUUAAUGACUCAUUCGGCGCCUUACA